Molecule: ribosomal RNA, 296 nt
Filed under: Cryptophyllium yunnanense
Lineage: Eukaryota; Metazoa; Arthropoda; Insecta; Phasmatodea; Phylliidae
Description: partial large subunit ribosomal RNA
Source: RNAcentral
UGAUUUUAUUUAAUGGCCGCGGUAUUUUGACCGUGCGAAGGUAGCAUAAUCAUUAGCCUAUUGAUUGUGGGAUUGUAUGAAUGGUUUGACGAAAUAUUGACUGUCUCACGUUAAUUAUUAUAAUUUAAUUUUUUAGUUAAAAAGCUUAAAUUUUUUUAAAGGACGAGAAGACCCUAUAGAUCUUUAUUUUUAUUAUUAAUAUUUUUUUUUGUUUUGUUUUUAAUAUUUUUGUAUAUUAUUUUGUUGGGGUGAUAUUGGGAUAUAAUUAACUCUUUUUUUUUUUUUCAUUUAUUUUU